CGUAAACAGAGGGAAGCGAGCCUGCGAGGGGGAGCGAAUCCCAAAAAUAACGUCCCAGUGCGGAUUGUAGUCUGCAACCCGACUACAUGAAGCUGGAAUCGCUAGUAAUCGCGGAUCAGAAUGCCGCGGUGAAUACGUUCCCGGGUCUUGUACACACCGCCCGUCACACCAUGGGAGUCGGAAAUGCCCGAAGUCUGUGACCCAACCUUAGGGAGGGAGCAGCCGAAGGCAGGUCGGAUGACUGGGGUGAAGUCGUAACAAGGUACC
Molecule: ribosomal RNA, 267 nt
Filed under: uncultured bacterium
Lineage: Bacteria
Description: partial 16S ribosomal RNA
Rfam family: Bacterial small subunit ribosomal RNA
Source: RNAcentral